RNAcentral lists this long non-coding RNA (815 nucleotides) under Mus spicilegus (steppe mouse). RNAcentral describes it as "lncRNA (ENSMSIG00000004172.1)". Lineage: Eukaryota; Metazoa; Chordata; Mammalia; Rodentia; Muridae. The record is from RNAcentral.
UUCCAAGUUCGUCCUUCUGAGGUUGGACUGCAUCCGUUGAAAGCCGAUGAUGCAUCGUGCCAUGAAACCACACAGGGACUGUGCUCUGGUAUGCAGCAUCUCUUUCCAUCAGCGAGAUAGAGAAGGAUACGGAACGUCUACAGCUUGUGAAUGAAAUAUGAGGCAAGGGUUCCAGUAAGCCAGAAGACUGGUGUUUGCUUGGCUGACUCAAGAACUGAACCGUACAGAAAUGAACAAUCAGGUCUUCAACACUGGGAUGCAAUUUCAGGAUAGUGAUCAUCUAUAGUGGGCUCAAAAGCCAAAUGAGAAGAAGGCAUUUGUGUGUUGCAACCGGGAUAGUAAUGUUCACCUAGCCCCGGAUGAGUCUGUGUGUGUUUUGUGUUUUCUGGACAUCCCAGGAUGCUGUGGUGAAACCCAGCCAACAGGAAUCACAGCAACUACAAAGAAAGAAAAAGAGAGAUUAGAAGGACCUAGUGUUCAGCCUACAAACAUUGCAUUUUCAAAAACACUUGGGGUUCUUUUCUUGGUCUGUCUUGCUGGUCAUCUGCUAAUUCCUGCAGUGUUGGACCUCUGUCCUCUCUGCCUCCGUGUCUGGAUUGCUGCUGUGCUCCCUCAGAGCUCCUUCCUGUCGGAAGACCACUCCCGAUUCCUUUAUGCACAUGGCUCCAGGGUAGGUUUUAAAUGGAGGUGGGGUUUUCUCCUUUCUUUCUGUCUCUCAUCUUAGUCCCACGUGGCUUUGAUGACAGAGGAUGGGGACAGCCUUAAUUCUGUACUUCCCUCUGCCCCUACUUUGAAUGCGGUGUUUUGAUCCUCAG